This 72-nucleotide transfer RNA is filed under the name Rosellinia necatrix. RNAcentral's name for it is "tRNA-Ala". It matches the Rfam family "tRNA". From Rfam's summary of the family: Transfer RNA (tRNA) molecules are approximately 80 nucleotides in length. Their secondary structure includes four short double-helical elements and three loops (D, anti-codon, and T loops). Lineage: Eukaryota; Fungi; Ascomycota; Sordariomycetes; Xylariales; Xylariaceae. The record is from RNAcentral.
GGGCGAAUGGUCUAGAGGUAUGAUAUUCGCUUUGCAUGCGAAGGGUCCGGGGUUCAAUUCCCCGUUCGUCCA